AGUGAACGCUGGCGGCAGGCCUAACACAUGCAAGUCGAGCGGCAGCGCGGGGGCAACCCUGGCGGCGAGCGGCGGACGGGUGAGGAAUUCGUCGGAAUCUGCCUUUUUGUGGGGGAUAACGUAGGGAAACGUACGCUAAUACCGCAUACGUCCUACGGGUGAAAGUGGGGGACCGCAAGGCCUCACGCAGAAAGAUGAGCCGACGACCGAUUAGCUAGUUGGAUGGGUAAAGGCCCACCAAGGCGACGAUCGGUAGCUGGUCUGAGAGGAUGAUCAGCCACACUGGAACUGAGACACGGCCCAGACUCCUACGGGAGGCAGCAGUGGGGAAUCUUGGACAAUGGGCGCAAGCCUGAUCCAGCCAUGCCGCGUGUGUGAAGAAGGCCUUCGGGUUGUAAAGCACUGUUGUCCGGAAAGAAAACCCUGGUGCUAAUCCCUUCAGGGCAUGACGGUACCGGAAGAAUAAGCACCGGCUAACUUCGUG
RNAcentral lists this ribosomal RNA (484 nucleotides) under uncultured bacterium. Its description in RNAcentral is "partial 16S ribosomal RNA". It matches the Rfam family "Bacterial small subunit ribosomal RNA", at positions 29 to 507 of the family's 1533-position model. The record is from RNAcentral.